RNAcentral lists this microRNA precursor (194 nucleotides) under Oryza brachyantha (malo sina). RNAcentral describes it as "MIR812 microRNA precursor family". It matches the Rfam family "MIR812 microRNA precursor family". The record is from Rfam by way of RNAcentral. Lineage: Eukaryota; Viridiplantae; Streptophyta; Magnoliopsida; Poales; Poaceae.
AAUAAACCAAUUUUUCAUUUUUUACCUAUAAUUUUUGACUCAACGUCUUAUUUAAAUUUUUUUGCGAUUGAUAUUUUUGUUUUUAUUGAAUGAUAAAUCAUGAAUAGUGCUUUACGUGUGACUAAUUUUUUUCUAAUUUUCUAAAAAAAUUUUAAAUAAGACGGAUAGUUAAACGUUAGAUAUGGAAACCGAAG